GAUGAACGCUGGCGGUAUGCCUUACACAUGCAAGUCGUACGAAAGGUUUUACCUUUAGUGGCGGACGGGUGAGUAACACGUAAGAAUUUACCUUUAGGAGGGGGACAACAAUUGGAAACGAUUGCUAAUACCCCAUAUGCUUUUAAGUAUAUGCUUUUAAGUGAAAUGGAAUUUUCCGCCUAAAGAGAAGCUUGCGGCUGAUUAGCUUGUUGGUAAGGUAAUGGCUUACCAAGGCGACGAUCAGUAUCUGGUUUGAGAGGACGAUCAGACACACUGGAACUGAGACACGGUCCAGACUCCUACGGGAGGCAGCAGUGGGGAAUUUUCCGCAAUGGGCGAAAGCCUGACGGAGCAAUACCGCGUGAGGGAUGACGGCCUAUGGGUUGUAAACCUCUUUUUUCAAGGAGGAAUUCAUGACGCGUACUUGAAGAAUAAGCAUCGGCUAACUCCGUGCCAGCAGCCGCGGUAAGACGGAGGAUGCAAGUGUUAUCCGGAAUCACUGGGCGUAAAGCGUCUGUAGGUGGUUUAGUAAGUCAACUGUUAAAUCUUGAGGCUUAACCUCAAAACUGCAGUCGAAACUACUAGACUAGAGUAUAGUAGGGGUAAAGGGAAUUUCCAGUGGAGCGGUGAAAUGCGUAGAUAUUGGAAAGAACACCGAUGGCGAAGGCACUUUACUGGGCUAUGACUAACACUGAGAGACGAAAGCUAGGGUAGCAAGUGGGAUUAGGUACCCCAGUAGUCCUAGCUGUAAACAAUGGAUACUAGAUGUUGAACAGAUUUUCUGUGCAGUAUCAAAGCUAACGCGUUAAGUAUCCCGCCUGGGAAGUAUGCUCGCAAGAGUG
This 842-nucleotide ribosomal RNA is filed under the name uncultured phototrophic eukaryote. RNAcentral's name for it is "bacterial SSU rRNA". It matches the Rfam family "Bacterial small subunit ribosomal RNA", at positions 28 to 896 of the family's 1533-position model. The record is from RNAcentral.